This 1320-nucleotide long non-coding RNA is filed under the name Gadus morhua (Atlantic cod). RNAcentral's name for it is "lncRNA (ENSGMOG00000036019.1)". The record is from RNAcentral. Lineage: Eukaryota; Metazoa; Chordata; Actinopteri; Gadiformes; Gadidae.
UCCGGCCCCCCCCCCCCCCCCCCCCGGCACCAUACCCCGAUCUGGUUACCCCUGCUGGUGAGCCAGACAGAUGCUCACUGUGUGAGUGAGUGAGUGAGAGAGAGAGAGAGCGAAAGAGAGGAGCAGGAUGUACAAGCUGCUGUGGUUCUGGACGAGCGUGGCUCUUCUGAUGUCCUGCUGUGGGCUUCAACUGGACUACAUCACACAGGACCCAGGAGAAUACGACUAUUCAAACUCCACAGACUACUACCUAUUCUUUGACAAUGAAACGGUGAUUGACUAUGACGACUGGGGAAGUGGUUCAGCCGACCAGACGGUUGUCGGUAUGGGUCAGGUGACCCUGGUUCUGCUGCUUGGAUUGGCUUUCCCACAUGUCCUUCAUUGAGUGGGCGGGCUUUAAGCCUCCAGAUCUUCGGCCCAGCCAGAGAGGGACAAGUUUGAAGCGUCCAAUCAGAAGGAGAGACCAUGGUACCUGUCUGAGCUCCGUCGACUCCAGCACCGCCCAGCACGAUUACUAUUCCCCACAGUUGGACAUCGUUUCCAUCAUGGCUAAGAAACAUGCAUUCAAAUGAUAUUUUGCAGUUUAUUUUUAUAAAUAAAGGUUUGUUCAAAUCCCUGGUUCAACCCCAAGUUCCCCGGUGAUCAGAGAUGCACAUCGGUGAACAGUCGUUGUCGUACAUUGCAUGACGGGUAUGAGGAUGUGGAGCACUAUUCAGGGACCCUGAUUGGUUGACUGUUUAGGACGCGUCACUGUCAUAUCUCACAGGGUACAGCGGACAUGUUUGAACCCAUCUGGAUCUCAUCUCUGAAUGCGCCACACUUAGCAGCAUCACUUCAUUAAGGCCCCGUUUACACAAAGGGAAAACGCAGAUAUUUCCACGCGGUUUGGCCUCUCAUUUACACGAAAACGCAGUUAUCACAGAAAACGAUCAUUUCUAAAAACUCCGGCCGAAGUGGAGAUUUCUGAAAACGCCGGUUAUGUGUUGUCGUGUCAACGGGGAGAAACAGGGUUUUAGGUUCUGAAGCGUCACAUUAUGCGCCAGGAAAUGCUUAACGUCAUAGGAGCGCCCUAUGUUUACAGUUUGUUUGUUACAGGAAGACGCUCGUGUUAUUCGUUGUUGAUUCUGAGGAUUCUGAUUGGCUUUCAUGGCUUUAUCCUUCUCCCUACACUGCCGCCCAUAGGUUUGGCAUAGUUAUAAUGGCGCUCGACGGCGUAUUUAUGCGUUUUGCUGUAAACGACAACUUUUUUGAAAACGAUGUGUGCACAAUGUUAUAACGGAGGGGGGGAAAUAUUUGUUUCCAUAAAUACCCUGCUACGUA